AUCCGUUUCUGCUGAGUAGGCAUGAAGGCAGCCUCCACCUCCCAAUCUCCACCCUAAGGUAAUUGCAGUCCAGCACUGAUGGGGCUUAUUCAAUCUAGCGAAUAACCCUCUUGUCUUCUCUCCCAACAUCUCUUCCUGUCCUUAGACCAGGAGACUGUGGCCGAUUUCUUGUUUCUCUCUGGCCACCAGGAGCCAAUCCAGUGGACCAUCUCAUCCUGGCCCCAAACAAGCACAGAGGUCCCUUUCUCCUCACAACUUGUCCACUGUGUGGCAAAUGUGAAGGAUGGAUUCCCCAGUUUCCACCCCAGAGGACUGGACUUUGGAGAGAGAGUCAGAAAACAUUGGAAGAAGUGAACUCAAGAUCCACCUUGGUCUUCAAAUGGCCAGUGGAUUACACCAACGCCCUUGCUACAACUCUCCUUCGGUGUUUUGAGAUGUCACCUUGAGAAUCUACUGAAGGCCCGCCUGUAGGUGGAACUGUGUAAGAACUCUUUUUUCCAAAGCUUCCAAAAUGUUGAUAUGUGUUGGCGUACCUUGUUUCUCGUAGACUCCUUCUUAGAGCCUGAAUCAGUGGACCCAGAUACAGGAACCUGCACUUUUGACAAUCUCUCCAGUUGCUUUCUUUCCAUUAAUCCAGUGGUUCUUAACUGUUGGCUGCUGGUUAUAAUAAUCUAAAGAGCACUUACAAACUGGGAAGCCCAGGCCACACUUCAUCUAGACUAGUGAGAUCAGCAUCUCUGAGAGAGGCCUGUGAAUUUGUAUUUUUCUUAAGCUCUAGGGUGACUCCAACCUACAAUCAAAAGCACGGUGUUAACCUGUGAAACGCACUUCACCCUGUUUAAUUACUGCAGCUUUAUUUUGUAAUUUACUGGUUGAAACAGCAAGCUUGUCGUUCUUUUCUUUUUUGUUUGUUCUGCUACUGCUAUUACUGUAGGUUUGGUUAAUUUGUAAUUGUCGUUACAGCUUCUGAUGUUUAUUCUUGGAAGUAGAUUUUAUAAUAAUCAGUUUCCAAAAAACGUUUUCUUUCUUAGAAUAGAUUGAAUGGAUACAAUGAAGUUUAGCUUCCUGAACUUGGGCAGAUUUCUGAAAAAUCUGUGAUCUUCAGCUUCAUGAUCUAUCAAUCAUCAAUGUCAGUACUUGCCAGUACCCCAGAUCCAACAGCAUUGUCCCUGG
RNAcentral lists this long non-coding RNA (1173 nucleotides) under Saimiri boliviensis boliviensis (Bolivian squirrel monkey). Its description in RNAcentral is "lncRNA (ENSSBOG00000036791.1)". Lineage: Eukaryota; Metazoa; Chordata; Mammalia; Primates; Cebidae. The record is from RNAcentral.